This 72-nucleotide transfer RNA is filed under the name Camelus bactrianus (Bactrian camel). It matches the Rfam family "tRNA". Rfam says of the family: Transfer RNA (tRNA) molecules are approximately 80 nucleotides in length. Their secondary structure includes four short double-helical elements and three loops (D, anti-codon, and T loops). Further hydrogen bonds mediate the characteristic L-shaped molecular structure. tRNAs have two regions of fundamental functional importance: the anti-codon, which is responsible for specific mRNA codon recognition, and the 3' end, to which the tRNAs corresponding amino acid is attached (by aminoacyl-tRNA synthetases). tRNAs cope with the degeneracy of the genetic code in two manners: having more than one tRNA (with a specific anti-codon) for a particular amino acid; and 'wobble' base-pairing, i.e. permitting non-standard base-pairing at the 3rd anti-codon position. The record is from Rfam by way of RNAcentral. RNAcentral also lists the same sequence under 2 other names. Lineage: Eukaryota; Metazoa; Chordata; Mammalia; Artiodactyla; Camelidae.
GUAUAGAUAGCUCAGUGGCAGAGCGUGUGCUUAGCAUGCACAAGGUCCUGGGUUCAAUCCUCAAUAUCUCCA